ACUUAUAUAGCUUAAAAAGAGUAUAAUAUUGAAGAUAUUAGGGUGAUAUUUAUCUUUAAGUA
RNAcentral lists this transfer RNA (62 nucleotides) under Mengenilla moldrzyki. RNAcentral's name for it is "tRNA-Phe". The record is from RNAcentral. Lineage: Eukaryota; Metazoa; Arthropoda; Insecta; Strepsiptera; Mengenillidae.